Non-coding RNA from Chiloscyllium plagiosum (whitespotted bambooshark), 1098 nucleotides. Lineage: Eukaryota; Metazoa; Chordata; Chondrichthyes; Orectolobiformes; Hemiscylliidae. The record is from RefSeq and is a predicted model, not a curated record.
CCAAGCAGGAUGCUCAGAAAUGUGUCAGGGAUAGCUAGCAGGAAUAUUCCAAUCCGUACAACCCAGUGACCACCGACUGAUUACCACAGUGUUGUGCCUUCUGCCUGCCACCCCCUCCCCCCAGCAUAGCUCUCUUAGAUUAAAAUGGAGCCCGAGACCUGCCCAAGCUGCAGAAGCUCAGAGAGAUUUUCUGCCAGUCCACCUCUCCCUCAGCGGAUUUGCACCCAAUUGAACUCUGACGACGAAUUCAGCACCCAUGUUGUGUGUGUGCAGGGUCCUCUGGUUGCCAAGGACCACGUUGCUAUGGUCUCAGCAGACCGGAAGAUCCACCGCAUGGCCCUCUGGGAUAUGUAGUCCCCACGUCCAGACCCGCCGGUAGACGCGCGGCCUGCUGGGAAAUGUAGUCCCGUUGUCCACCCCUUCCACAGCUACGCGACGGUGCCUGAACUACAUAUCCCGGCGUGCAAGCACCGCCGAUGAGGGCAAGGGGUAGUCAAGAGGUGACUACAGUUGCGAUCCUCCCACGCUGACUUUGAGAGUCUUGUGGUACCCAGCAGCAAUUGCACCCUUCAAACCAGAUUCCAAGAUAAAAAUGUUUAUUCUAUAGUUAAAAACGUCAAUCACAUAUAUUUUCACAAAUAUACAGAGAUAUUUGCACAAAUUUUUUAAAAUAUGCAUUACUACGAGAAAACUGUUUAUGCCUUAAAAUAUUGAUUUUGGGUUUUAUCAAUAUUUAUCCAAUUUAUUCUCCUUCGGUUACUCAUGACAAUAUAAAUUUACAUUUAAAAAUAUAAUUGGAGUGAUUGUCACAAGGUGGAUCUCCCACAAUGUGAAAGAAAAAGAGAAAUUGCUGGAAAAGCUGAGCAGGUCUGGCAGCGACUGUGGAAAUAAAUCGGAGCAAGCGUUUUGGAUUGAGUGACCUUUCCUCAGACCCCAGGGCUUUUCCAGCAAUUUCUGAUCUUGUUCCCGAUUUACAGCAGCCACAAUUCUUUCAGUUCUCAGGGAAUGUGAGUUCCCUUGUUCGGGGCAGUUAAUCAGGGAGCCCUGGCUGACAGAUACAAGCAAAAUUGUCAGAGGUUCAGCUCACUCUUACAGCUG